CCUACGGGGGGCAGCAGUGAGGAAUAUUGGUCAAUGGGCGGGAGCCUGAACCAGCCAAGCCGCGUGAAGGAAGAAGGCGCUAGGCGUCGUAAACUUCUUUUGUCGGGGAACAAAGGUCUCCACGCGUGGCGUUGUGAGUGUACCCGAAGAAAAAGCAUCGGCUAACUCCGUGCCAGCAGCCGCGGUAAUACGGAGGAUCAGAGCGUUAUCCGGAUUUAUUGGGUUUAAAGGGAGCGUAGAUGGGUUUUUAAGUCAGUGGUGAAAGUUUGCGGCUCAACCGUAAAAUUGCAAUUGAUACUGGCAGUCUUGAGUGUAGUUGAGGUAGGCGGAAUGCGUGGUGUAGCGGUGAAAUGCAUAGAUAUCACGAAGAACUCCGAUUGCGAAGGCAGCUUACUAAGCUGCAACUGACAUUGAUGCUCGAAAGCGUGGGUAUCAAACAGGAUUAGAUACCCUUGUAGUC
Molecule: ribosomal RNA, 460 nt
Filed under: uncultured bacterium
Lineage: Bacteria
Description: partial 16S ribosomal RNA
Rfam family: Bacterial small subunit ribosomal RNA
Source: RNAcentral